RNAcentral lists this ribosomal RNA (497 nucleotides) under uncultured bacterium. RNAcentral's name for it is "partial 16S ribosomal RNA". It matches the Rfam family "Bacterial small subunit ribosomal RNA", at positions 28 to 507 of the family's 1533-position model. The record is from RNAcentral.
GAUGAACGCUGGCGGCGUGCCUAAUACAUGCAAGUCGAGCGAACAGAUGAGGAGCUUGCUCCUCUGACGUUAGCGGCGGACGGGUGAGUAACACGUGGAUAACCUACCUAUAAGACUGGGAUAACUUCGGGAAACCGGAGCUAAUACCGGAUAAUAUAUUUAACCGCAUGUUUCAAUAGUGAAAGACGGUUUUGCUGUCACUUAUAGAUGUAUCCGCGUCGCAUUAGCUAGUUGGUAAGGUAACGGCUAACAAAGCCAACGAUGCGUACCCAACCGGGGAGGUGAAUCGGCAACACUGGAACUGAGAAACGGUCCAAAUUCCUACGGGAGGAAGAAGUAGGAAAUCUUGCGAAAUGGGCGAAAGCUGGACGGAGAAACGCCGCGUGAGUGAGGAAGGUCUUCGAAUCGUAAAACUCUGUUAUAAGGGAAGAACAAAGGUGUAAGUAACUGUGCACGUCUUGACGGUACCUAAUCAGAAAGCCACGGCUAACUACGUG